ACAAGUGGCCAUAUUGGGGAACCCAAGGAGCAAGAAACCAUGAGUGGCCUCCAGGAACUGAAACCAAUAAGAAACUAAAGUCUGCAAUACUAUAAACACAAGACCAACUGCUACCUGUGUUUAAAAGAGGAUUAUUACACUCCUAGUAGAAUGGCCAAGAUCCUGAACACUGACAGCACCAAAUGCUGGAACUGUACCUGGCUUCUUACCACAUUGCCACUAGGUAACAUAAUAGGAAUGCAUAGUGCUUCCGAAGUGUUCACUGAAUGACGAAAAGAAUGAAUAACUGCAAGCAAGAAAACAGUUCCUCGAAGCUUGUAAAAGAUUCUGGGUAUUGUCAGUUACAGAAAUCAAUGACACCGAUUCUGGUUUGUUUCAUUGUAAUGGAACACCAGACUUCCAUUUCCUUGACCCUGGACGCCUUAUGCACUGAUAGACUACACUAGAUUUGUUUGGGUGGAAGGGGAGAGAAAAGAAGUGAAAGUUGAAGAGAAAAGUGAACGGAAUUUUUCUUAGAAAGAAGUGCCUGUGUGGUCUACAUCUUUAUUUGUCAAGUACUCAUUUUGAAAACAUAUCAUCAGAAGAGAAAUAUGGGG
Molecule: long non-coding RNA, 596 nt
Organism: Mustela erminea (ermine)
Lineage: Eukaryota; Metazoa; Chordata; Mammalia; Carnivora; Mustelidae
Exons: 3
Source: RefSeq, a predicted model, not a curated record